UGUCUUUUUGAAAAUAAUAUAAAGUCUAAUCUGCCCACUGAUUUUAUAUUAAAGGGCUGCAGUAUUUUGACUGUACAAAGGUAGCAUAAUCAUUAGUCAUUUAAUUGAUGACUUGUAUGAAAGAUUGGAUGAAAUAUAAACUGUCUCUUAAUUAUUUAUAUAAAAUUUAAUUUUUUAAUUAAAAAGUUAAAAUAAUUUAAAAAGACGAGAAGACCCUAUAGAGUUUUAUAUUUAAAUUAAUUAAGAUUAUUUAAAAUUUAAAAUUAAAAUUAAUUUAUUUAUUAUAUUGGGGUGAUAGAAAAAUAUAUAUAACUUUUUUUUAUGUAAAACAUUUAUAAGUGAUUAGAUGAUCCAAUAAUAUUGAUUAUAAGAAAAAGUUACCUUAGGGAUAACAGCGUAAUUUUUUUUUUUAGUUCACAUAAAAAAAAGAGUUUGCGACCUCGAUGUUGGAUUAAGAUAAAAUUUAAAUGUAGAAG
RNAcentral lists this ribosomal RNA (476 nucleotides) under Busseola sp. BUTAG3220. RNAcentral describes it as "partial 16S large subunit ribosomal RNA". Lineage: Eukaryota; Metazoa; Arthropoda; Insecta; Lepidoptera; Noctuidae. The record is from RNAcentral.